Long non-coding RNA from Cydia splendana, 150 nucleotides. RefSeq lists it as uncharacterized. The record is from RefSeq and is a predicted model, not a curated record. NCBI's taxonomy places the organism in Eukaryota, Metazoa, Arthropoda, Insecta, Lepidoptera, Tortricidae. The transcript is spliced from 3 exons.
CUUUUUUUUAUUUUUUUAGUUUUCUUAUUAUUCUUUUGCCCAGGCCCAGUAACAUGCGACAGUGCUAUCUCAUUUACUCCGAUACAAUUAGACAGUGUGCGCGUUAUAGGUAUUAACAGCCUCUUAAGACUGCGUCGACCGUGUGUGCAA